This 397-nucleotide ribosomal RNA is filed under the name uncultured bacterium. RNAcentral describes it as "partial 16S ribosomal RNA". It matches the Rfam family "Bacterial small subunit ribosomal RNA", at positions 523 to 918 of the family's 1533-position model. The record is from RNAcentral.
AUACGUAGGGGGCGAGCGUUGACCGGAAUGAUUGGGCGUAAAGGGCGCGUAGGCGGCCCGGUAAGUCUGGAGUGACAGUCCUGUUUUUAAGAUGGGAAUUGCUUUGGAUACUGCCGGGCUUGAGUGCAGGAGAGGUAAGUGGAUUUCCCUGUGUCGCGGUGAAACGCGUAGAGAUUGGGAAGAACACCAGUGGCGAAGGCGACUUACUGGACUGUAACUGACGCUGAGGCGAGAAAGUGUGGGGAGCAAACAGGAUUAGAUACCCUGGUAGUCCACACUGUAAACGAUGAAUGCUAGGUGUAGGGGGUAUCGACCCCUUCUGUGCCGCAGUCAACACAAUAAGCAUUCCGCCUGGAGAGUACGGCCGCAAGGUUGAAACUCAAAUGAAUUGACGGGG